GACGAACGCUGGCGGCGUGCUUAACACAUGCAAGUCGAACGGAAAGGCCCUGCUUUUGUGGGGUGCUCGAGUGGCGAACGGGUGAGUAACACGUGAGUAACCUGCCCUUGACUUUGGGAUAACUUCAGGAAACUGGGGCUAAUACCGGAUAGGAGCUCCUGCUGCAUGGUGGGGGUUGGAAAGAUUCGGCGGUUGGGGAUGGACUCGCGGCUUAUCAGCUUGUUGGUGGGGUAGUGGCUUACCAGGGCUUUGACGGGUAGCCGGCCUGAGAGGGUGACCGGCCACAUUGGGACUGAGAUACGGCCCAGACUCCUACGGGAGGCAGCAGUGGGGAAUAUUGCACAAUGGGCGGAAGCCUGAUGCAGCAACGCCGCGUGCGGGAUGACGGCCUUCGGGUUGUAAACCGCUUUCGCCUGUGACGAAGCGUGAGUGACGGUAAUGGGUAAAGAAGCACCGGCUAACUACGUG
Molecule: ribosomal RNA, 468 nt
Filed under: uncultured bacterium
Lineage: Bacteria
Description: partial 16S ribosomal RNA
Rfam family: Bacterial small subunit ribosomal RNA
Source: RNAcentral